Vigna unguiculata (cowpea) is the source of this 156-nucleotide long non-coding RNA. The record is from RefSeq and is a predicted model, not a curated record. NCBI's taxonomy places the organism in Eukaryota, Viridiplantae, Streptophyta, Magnoliopsida, Fabales, Fabaceae.
AGCAUCAUCCAGACAAAUUCCAUAUGGGGUAGCACAGAAUGAGGUAAAGGAAUGGCAAGAUGCAUGGGAUGAAAAGGAAAAUAAGGAUUCUGAGAAGCAAGGACUUGAUCAACAUGAUUCAUUUUGGAGCAAGCUAAAGACGAGGCUGCUAGGAAG